Molecule: ribosomal RNA, 2947 nt
Filed under: Burkholderia mallei FMH
Lineage: Bacteria; Pseudomonadati; Pseudomonadota; Betaproteobacteria; Burkholderiales; Burkholderiaceae
Description: 23S ribosomal RNA
Source: RNAcentral
CGCGCGCUGCAGGAUACGGUCGCGUUCGACAACGCGAUCAAGGCGACGCUCGACAAGGUGCGCCAGACCGAUCCGGAGUUGAAGAACACGCUCGUCGUCGUGACGGCCGACCACGAUCACACGCUGGUGCUCAACGGCUACGCGGCGCGCACGGGCAAGACGGAAGCGGGCAAGCCGGGCGUGCUCGGCGUGCUGCGCAACUAUCAGACGGGCGCGGUCGCGAAGGACGCGGACGGCGCGCCGUACACGAUCAUCGGCUUCGGCAACGGCGAGAACCGCGUGCAAGGCAGCCGCGCGGGCACGAGCCUCACCGACGCGGUGACGGGCGCGGACGAUUAUCGCCAGGAAGCGGUCGUGCGCAUGGCCAAGGGCGGCGAGACGCACGGCGGCACCGACGUGUUCCUCGGCGCGAUCGGCCGCGGCGCGGACGGCUUUCACGGCGUGAUCGAGAACAACAAGGUGUUCGAGCUCGUGCGCGGCGCGGCGCAGCUCUGAGCGCGGCUUGACGGGAAACAGGGGAAUACAGGAUGUCGACUAUCAAGCGCAUCGCGGCGGCGGCGUUCGCCGCGGCGGCCCUCUCGGGCGGUUUCGGCCACGCGGCGCACGCCGCGGGCCAGGCGAAGAACGUGAUCUUCUUCCUCGGCGACGGGAUGGGGCCGGCCACCGUGACGGCGAGCCGCCUCUACAAGGUCGGCGAAGCCAGCCAACUGACGAUGGAAAAGCUGCCGCGCACCGCGCGCAUCAAGACCUUCUCGAACGACGCGCAGACGACGGACAGCGCGCCGUCGAUGGCCGCGUACAUGACCGGCGUGAAGAUGAACAACGAGGUGCUGUCGAUGUCGCCGGACACGCGCGCGAUCGCCCCCGGCAGCGACGCGAACGGCAACAAGACGGUGAACCGCUGCGGCGUGGGCAACGGCACGCCGGCGGCGACGCUGCUCGAGCUCGCGAAGGCGCGCGGCAAGGCGGUCGGCGCGAUCACGACGACCGAGCUCACGCACGCGACGCCCGCGGCGACCUACUCGCACAUCUGCCAUCGCGACGCGCAGUACGACAUUGCCGCGCAGGCCGUGCCGGGCGGCGCGGGCUACAACGCGGCGCUCGGCGACGGCGUCGACGUGCUGAUGGGCGGCGGCCGCAAUCACUGGACGCCGUACGAUCCGCUCGCCAACAGGCGCGGCCGCGCGGAUGGGCGCAACCUGCUCGCCGAGCUGCAGGCGAAGGGCUACGCGGUGGUCGCGACGAAGGAUCAGCUCGCGCAGGCGGGCGCGGGCAAGCUGAUCGGCCUUUUCAGCACGACGAGCCAUCUCGAAUACGAGCUCGACCGCGUCGCGGGCAAGGGCGAGGGCGCGACGCAGCCGAGCCUCGCGGAGAUGACCGCGAAGGCGAUCGACGUGUUGCGGAAGAAUCCGAACGGCUAUUUCCUGAUGGUCGAAGGCGGGCGCAUCGACCACGCGCUGCACGGCACGAACGCGAAGCGCGCGCUCGAAGACACGGUGGCGUUCGACGAGGCGAUCCGCACCGCGCUCGCGAAGGUCGAUCUGUCGGAUACGCUGAUCGUCGUGACGGCCGAUCACGAUCACACGAUGACGAUCAACGGCUAUUCGAAGCGCGGCAAUCCGGUGCUCGACAUCAGCCGCAACUAUCGCGACGGCCAGCCGAACAAGGACGCGGACGGCAACCCGUACACGACGCUCGUGUUCGGCAAUGGCGCGAACCGGCCGAACGUGCGCGUGCCGGUGGAUUCGUCGACGGCGACGAACGACGCGUAUCUGCAGGAAGUCGGCGUGCGCAUGGGCAGCGCGGGUUCCGAGACGCACGGCGGCGGCGACGUGAUGCUGUUUGCCGACGGCGCCGGCGCGAAGGCGUUCAAGGGCACGCUCGACAACACGAAGGUGUUCGGCCUCGUGAAGGCCGCGUUCGGGUUCUGAGCGCAAUGGCUGCGAUGCGAACGUUCGCGAUGAAACUCGAUGUCGUGCGGCGCGCAUGCGCGGCGCUCGGCGGCGCGGCCGUGCUCGCCGCCGCGCCGGCGCUCGCCGCGCCUCCCGCGCCCGACGGGGGCCGCGCACCCGAUCUCGAUGCGGUGCUGCUGCACGAAAGCAUGACGGUGAGCGCGGACGGCGUGACGCGCACCGUCACGUAUCGUGAGCGGAUGGUGCGGCGCGACGGGCACGUCUGGAUCGAACGCGUGCCGCCAUCCGGCGCGAAGCGCGCGCAUGCCGGCGACGCGCAUGCGCACGAGGGCUUGGACGCCGCGCGCACGCCGCCGUCGCGCGGCGGCGCGCGUCCCGCCGCGGCGGCGGCCGAUGCGCACGCCGGCCACCGGCAUUUCGAUUUCGAUUCGGCCGCGCGGCACGUGACGAACGACGGCGGCAGGAUCGGCGUCGAAUACGUCGAUGCGGCGCAGCGCACGGUGGUUGCGGUGCCGCCCGCCGAGUACGAGACGACGGGUUUCGACGGUUCGUGGGACAACGCGUUCUACAUCACGCCGCCGUCGCAACUGAAGCGCCUCGCCGCGCAGUCGAAGCCGGGCCCCGCGCCCGGCACGCGCUGGUACGAGCAGACGGUCGGCGCGCCGCGCGCGCAGGGCACCAAUCGCGUUCUGUGGAGCGAUGCGUUGCAGGCGCCGCUCGUCGUCGAAUACCGCAGCGCGGACGGCCAUGCGUCGCGCAAGCUGACGCUCACGCUCACGCCCGCGCCGCGUGCGAACGCACUGCCGUGGCGGCAGUUGCAAUCGUAUACGCGCAAGGCGUAUGCGGACUAUCUCGAUUGACGUGCGGAUUCGUUUCGCGCGGCAAGCGUCGCGCAUCGCGCGCGACGCGAAGUGAAUCGGGCCGGACGGCGCCAAGCGUGCGCGGCGCGAUGAAGCCCGGUGGCGCUGCGCCACGCGAUGCGACGCGAUUCGGCGAGGCGGCGGCGCGGUCGUAUUCAUGCGAAGCGGCAUCAC